Lupinus angustifolius (narrow-leaved blue lupine) is the source of this 119-nucleotide ribosomal RNA. The record is from Rfam. NCBI's taxonomy places the organism in Eukaryota, Viridiplantae, Streptophyta, Magnoliopsida, Fabales, Fabaceae.
AGGUGCGAUCUUACCAUCACUAAUGAACCUGAUCCUAUCAGAACUCCACAGCUAAGCGUGCUUGGGCGAGAGUAGUACUAGGAUGGGUGACCUCCUGAGAAGUCCUCAUGUUGCACCUA